GUUAUUUAUAAGAUUAUGAGUCAGGAUUUCAUGACAAGGGUACAGGUACAUAUCUGUUUAAUAAUCUGUUCUCCUCAGAUAAACAUUAAUAAUGAAUUCUCCUUCUGUCCACACUGAGGUCAAUGGGGACUUGGCAUUAAUUUAGCAAGAACAGAGUCCAAAUCUACAUGAGUGAAGUUUUAAAUGAAUCAAAGUACACGUUACCCUCUCAAGGGCUAAUGCAAAGCUGAUGAGAGCUAUGGAGACACCUCUGCUGAUUAGAGUAGGCUCUAGGUUAGGCCUUUUCCAGUGGAAAAUACCCUCUAUCUACUUUGUCUGGCCAAAGUGGAGUCUUUGGGGCCUGACCUUGUGCUCUUUCUUCUGGAGAAAGAUGCAUGAAUAAAAAUGUACUGAAAGGCUGGAAUCUUAUUUUUCCUAACUGUCAUUAUAUAAAGAUCUAAUACCUGAUUGCUUUGAUUUCUUUCAAAAUUACUAUUCUACAAAAGCAAUUUAACGAGCUGAAAGUAGGAAGCGGUAUCAGGCUAUUGACAGAACACCGCAUCCUUAUCUGGAAAGUUUCCGAGGGAACAAGCUAUUGGUCUUGGUCAAUAAGGCAAGAAUCUUCAUGUGUUGCUCGAUCAGAGCCUGCACCUGAAAAGUUUUUCUGGGAAUACCGGUUGACAGAAAGUCUAAAUGAGCAGGAGGUUUUGCUUGAAUAUCUCUGGCAAACUGCACGCACGUGAGCUAUAUCUCAUCGGUUGGGUUUUGACAGGGCGGGCUCACAAACAACAACUGCAUCAUAUGAGUUGAAGGUCUUGGCCUUGAGGUCCCACAGAUCUCAGUGCGGUACUUUCUCAGAACAUUUUGCAAUGUUUAGGUAACAUCUAUGAAUAAUCGUUGUAACAAAUAUUUUUCUCAUCCAUGCUAGGAUGAGAUUAAGGGAGAUCUGUAUGUUAUUAACUUCUAUUUGCCAGAUCAAUUCAUAAAUUACAGCCAGCAUUCUCCGUUAUACAUUAUGAUUUAGUUGUGACAAAUGAAAACAACAGCCAUUCUAGACAAAAUACUCAGAAACUUGCAAAAAUGCAGAGAUGACGUUCUUCAACUUUUUAAUUAUUCAUCAAGAAAAUGAAAUAGAUUUUCCUUGGCUGGUAAGGGAUGAAGAACAGAAAGCUUCAGCUAUGCAAACACAGCCCAUAUGGAGUGGAAUGAUAGCUUCCCAAUGAAAUCCCUAAGUAGCCAACCAUGGUGAUACUAUGGUGAACACCCCGUAAAUGCUGAGCAUACUAGAAAAAGGUGUGCUCUCUAAAAUGAAAUGGAGAAGUAAUCUGAUCAGCGGGCAGGGAAUUACAGCUGGACAGAAUGCAUCUGUAGAACCGCUGUGGGGAAGCUGCGGGAAGUGAAGGCCCUUCGGUGACGAUGGGGACAGAGGUGGCCUUUCUUCCUCAGUCGCAGUCCUUCCUCUUCUGGGCUGCACGCCUGACACAAGCAGUUCAUUUCUGUUCCAAAAUCACCAUGUGACUCACUGCUACCAGAAAUAAGAAUGUUUCAGCAAUGUGAUUUGUCAGUCUUGGUGAUGUACCAGGAUAUGGAUAGGUGCCUGCUGCAGAGAGCGCACGAUUUAACGGGUAUGUCUCUCUUCCUCUCCCCCUCUUCCCAAGAAGAUCUGCUCCUGACACUUGCAUAUCUUCAUCUGAUGGGAAAAGCCAGGAGCAUGUGAAGCUGCUGCCAGUUUCCCCAGUCUCCGCCAGAUCACAGCAGAUCUGUAUGAACCAGGGCCAAGCUGGUGGGGAUGAGCUGAGGGGAGCUCAUCCCACACAACGAAGGAAUGUGAGGAACGAUGGAGUUGGGGGGCAGGGGGCCGGGGCGCCUUUCUGCAGAAAGUCAAUGACUAGGGGUUUUUUUUAUUCACAGCUCGGAUAAGAGGUUUUUUUAAUAAUUAGCCUCUACUUUUUAAAAAUAUAUCAAGCCCUGAAGAAGUAUUGUGUUCUAACAUCAGAGAGCCUUGCAAUUCAGCAGGAGCAAAACCUUUUUUUUGCUGCCCCAAAUGCAAAACCAGUGCAGAACCACUUAUCACACCUUAAAGGUCUGCCGGAGUUAAUCACUCCAAAAUUAUCUGUCGUUCACAUUAAGUUCUAGCAGUGUUAUAAAGAAGCUAAUUUGUUUAUUUAUUGCUAGUUCUACAAUUAAUACAAGGUUAAUUCUUUCAAAAACUAUUAAGCCUGGAGCAGCUGAAUGGUUUAGGAGGAAACAGAGAGCGAUCAUUAAUAUUGAUUUGACACAUGAGAAACAAUCUCAAGAGGGUUUAAUGUUUGGGCCUAUUUCAUUAGCUCAUUUUAUUAGCAGUCUCAAGACAGGUUUGUAUUCAGCUAAGUUUGAAGUGGGUGAUAAUUUCAAAAUCAGAGAAGACACGUGGAAUCACAAACUACAGAAUUGUCUGAGACAUCUUAGGACUGUAGGCUGCACACAGGAGCAUGAAAUUCAAUGUUAAUUAAAUAAAAACUCUGCUUCAUUGCCAAGGAGAAGCUGAACUGAAGCAGGUCAAUAAGGAGAGGACAGAUACACAAAGGGACCCAGUCUGAGAAAAGCCUUGGGGGACAGACUGCAAAUGUUCAAACACUUGCAUAAGCGUAAGGCAAAAGUUGGUUUUGACAGAAAGAAAGAAAAAAAGAAAAAGGAGCCUACACGUAAAGAUAAGGUAGUAGUUUUGUUUUCAUAACUUGGGAUAAAGGCACAGAAAAUACUGUAAUACAGAUCUCUUCCUCACUAGCCAGUUCCCUGAAUGCUUGUCUCUUUUAAGCUCGCUGUUGUUUUUCCAGGC
Athene cunicularia (burrowing owl) is the source of this 2797-nucleotide long non-coding RNA. RefSeq lists it as uncharacterized. Lineage: Eukaryota; Metazoa; Chordata; Aves; Strigiformes; Strigidae. The record is from RefSeq and is a predicted model, not a curated record. The transcript is spliced from 2 exons.